Long non-coding RNA from Eucalyptus grandis, 170 nucleotides. RefSeq lists it as uncharacterized. NCBI's taxonomy places the organism in Eukaryota, Viridiplantae, Streptophyta, Magnoliopsida, Myrtales, Myrtaceae. The record is from RefSeq and is a predicted model, not a curated record. The transcript has 3 exons.
CAGCUCAAUCCCUUCAGCUGGUCUAAGGUCUCCAACAUUAUCUAUUUGGAUUCACCAUGUGGAGUGGGUUUAUCAUACUCUAACGAUCCACGCAAUUAUGCGACAGGAGACCUUCAAACCGCCUCUGACACGCAUGCCUUUCUUCUCAAGUGGUUCGAGCUCUAUCCAGA